RNAcentral lists this non-coding RNA (167 nucleotides) under Rhodanobacter fulvus. Its description in RNAcentral is "FMN sequence". It matches the Rfam family "FMN riboswitch aptamer (RFN element)". From Rfam's summary of the family: The RFN element is a highly conserved domain that is found frequently in the 5'-untranslated regions of prokaryotic mRNAs that encode for flavin mononucleotide (FMN) biosynthesis and transport proteins. RNAcentral also lists the same sequence under 1 other name. The record is from RNAcentral. Lineage: Bacteria; Pseudomonadati; Pseudomonadota; Gammaproteobacteria; Lysobacterales; Rhodanobacteraceae.
CGACGUCUUCAGGGCGGGGCGAAAUUCCCCACCGGCGGUAGGCCUUUCGAGGCGAGCCCGCGAGCGCUUCCGCCAUGCGGAAGGUCAGCAGAUCCGGUCCAAUGCCGGAGCCGACGGUUGGAUGCGGGCAACCACAUCCUCAAAGUCCGGAUAAAGAGAAGACGGCA